AGGUACAGUGGCGUGCUCCUGUAGUCCCAGCUAGUAGGAAUACUGAGGGGGUAGGAUCGCUUGAGCCCAGUUCUGGGCUAUGCCAAUUGAGUGUCCACAUUAAGUUCAGCAUCAAUAUGGUGACCACCUGGGAGCAGGUAACCACGAGGUUGCCUAAGGAUGGAUGACCUGGCCCAGGCUGGAAAUAGAACAGGUCAAAACUUAUAUGCUGAUCAAUAGUGGGAUUGUACCUGUGAAUUGCUACUAUACUCGAGCCUGGGUAACAUAGUGGGACCCCCAUCUCU
This 284-nucleotide signal recognition particle RNA is filed under the name Carlito syrichta (Philippine tarsier). RNAcentral describes it as "Metazoan signal recognition particle RNA (ENSTSYG00000033166.1)". It matches the Rfam family "Metazoan signal recognition particle RNA". Rfam says of the family: The signal recognition particle (SRP) is a universally conserved ribonucleoprotein. It is involved in the co-translational targeting of proteins to membranes. The record is from Rfam by way of RNAcentral. Lineage: Eukaryota; Metazoa; Chordata; Mammalia; Primates; Tarsiidae.